RNAcentral lists this ribosomal RNA (253 nucleotides) under uncultured bacterium. RNAcentral describes it as "partial 16S ribosomal RNA". It matches the Rfam family "Bacterial small subunit ribosomal RNA", at positions 524 to 776 of the family's 1533-position model. The record is from RNAcentral.
UACGUAGGGUGCAAGCGUUAAUCGGAAUUACUGGGCGUAAAGCGUGCGCAGGCGGUUUUGUAAGUCUGACGUGAAAUCCCCGGGCUCAACCUGGGAAUUGCGUUGGAGACUGCAAGGCUAGAAUCUGGCAGAGGGGGGUAGAAUUCCACGUGUAGCAGUGAAAUGCGUAGAGAUGUGGAGGAACACCGAUGGCGAAGGCAGCCCCCUGGGUCAAGAUUGACGCUCCUGCACGAAAGCGUGGGGAGCAAACAGG